This 650-nucleotide ribosomal RNA is filed under the name Stelletta grubii. RNAcentral's name for it is "eukaryotic LSU rRNA". It matches the Rfam family "Eukaryotic large subunit ribosomal RNA", at positions 1307 to 1931 of the family's 3401-position model. The record is from RNAcentral. Lineage: Eukaryota; Metazoa; Porifera; Demospongiae; Tetractinellida; Ancorinidae.
UAGCCCUGAAAAUGGAUGGCGCUGAAGCGUCGUACCCACACCCGGCCGUCGGGCCGCGCAGCACGGUCCGACGAGUAGGAGGGCGUGGCGGUGGCAGCGCAGCUUCGGGCGCGAGCCCGGGUGAAGCCUCCGCUAGUGCAGAUCUUGGUGGUAGUAGCAACUAUUCAAACGAGAUCUUUGAAGACUGAAGUGGAGUAGGGUUCCAUGUGACCAGCACUUGGACAUGGGUUAGUCGAUCCUAAGGGGAGGGAGAGUUCCCCGUGGAAGGUGCAAUCGCCUCCGGCGACCGCGCCGUUUUCCCCGAAAGGGAGUCGGGUCAACAUUCCCGAACCGGGAUGCGGGUAGGCCCUCGUGGCCAAGGCGGCAACGCGAGCGAACUCGGAGACGUCGGCGGGAGCCCCGGGAAGAGUUCUCUUUUCUUCUUAACGGGCCUUUCCCCUGGAAUCAGGUUGGCUGGAGAUAGGGUGUUGUGCCCGGUAAAGCGUCACACUUGUGGUGGCGUCCGGUGCGCUCCCGACGGCCCGUGAAAAUCCGAGGGAGCGUCUGAUCUUCGCGCCCGGUCGUACCGAUAUCCGCAUCAGGUCUCCAAGGUGAACAGCCUCUAGUCGAUAGAACAAUGUAGGUAAGGGAAGUCGGCAAAACGGAUCCGU